RNAcentral lists this transfer RNA (81 nucleotides) under Corynoplastis japonica. RNAcentral describes it as "tRNA-Leu". It matches the Rfam family "tRNA". From Rfam's summary of the family: Transfer RNA (tRNA) molecules are approximately 80 nucleotides in length. Their secondary structure includes four short double-helical elements and three loops (D, anti-codon, and T loops). Further hydrogen bonds mediate the characteristic L-shaped molecular structure. tRNAs have two regions of fundamental functional importance: the anti-codon, which is responsible for specific mRNA codon recognition, and the 3' end, to which the tRNAs corresponding amino acid is attached (by aminoacyl-tRNA synthetases). tRNAs cope with the degeneracy of the genetic code in two manners: having more than one tRNA (with a specific anti-codon) for a particular amino acid; and 'wobble' base-pairing, i.e. permitting non-standard base-pairing at the 3rd anti-codon position. Lineage: Eukaryota; Rhodophyta; Rhodellophyceae; Rhodellales; Rhodellaceae. The record is from RNAcentral.
GGGUAAAUGGCGAAAUUGGUAGACGCGUUACAUUCAAAAUGUAAUGAUUUUUUCUUAAGGGUUCGAGUCCCUUUUUACCUA